UUAGGUAGAAUUUUCAAAUGUGAUUAAAAGCGCAAUUAUGAUGAAAUGUCUUGUGCUAUUAUGAUAAACGAUCGUUGAAUGCGAAUAUAGUGAUGGCUAGAUGAAUUAGAUCUUUAUGUUUUUAUUUAAAGAAACCUGCAAUCUUAAUUUCUUUUAAAUAAUGCUUAUCGUUUAGGCGUGAGGACGCAACAGUAUCUAACAAUAUCAGUGUUCAGCAUAAUUUUUUAUGUCAGUCCAGUGGUUGAGCAGCACUGAAUUAAUGUGUUACAAGGAAUAUAAAUCAACAAAUGAUGUCGAAAAAUUUUUG
This is a long non-coding RNA of Stegodyphus dumicola, 307 nucleotides long. Lineage: Eukaryota; Metazoa; Arthropoda; Arachnida; Araneae; Eresidae. The record is from RefSeq and is a predicted model, not a curated record.